ACCAUACCAAUCUGUAAAUAAGAAGCAAAAGUGCAAGGAAAACAUAGCUCACACAAAGGACCGAGAAUUAGUGGCAUAAAUUACCAAAAGCAACCGACUGUCCUAUAGUUGAAAUCAAAUUCUAAAGUGGAGGCUGAAUAUGGUAGAUACCCGGCAUCUUUUUAUUUUAAAACUUGUAGCGCCAGGAAUUACUCAGGGACUUUGUACACUGCAACAAUUUAGUGUUUUCUUGUACAUCACCGAGGACAUAUAAUUGUUAGCUAAAGUUCUCUCAACAACCUCCAUCUGUAAAUUCAGUAAAUUUGUACUGAAUUGACAAGGAUCAAUAUGUAGCUGAGCACCCUCUCAUAUUGAUCGUUGUCUACCUAUACACGGGGCAAAUUAGUCACCAAGUUCCCAUCUGAGAUGAAUAUAUGUACCACAAUCAAUAGGGAUUGCUCUUGAUGGACACGAUGAUCCAUAGCAUACUGCAAAAACUGCUAACUUCUUCAGGAAUUGAUUGUCGAUGGCCGUCUUGUAGGAAGACACGGCCUGCUGCAAUGCAAGCUUCUCCCUGCAAAUUCCGGUGCAGGCCCAUCGAACACAAAAAAACGUGGUGGUCAAGCUCGGAUGAGAACUUCUCCGCCUUGUAAAACCGGCGUGAAUCAACCUAUCUCUCACAGAUC
RNAcentral lists this long non-coding RNA (665 nucleotides) under Triticum aestivum (bread wheat). RNAcentral's name for it is "long non-coding RNA (TAES_LNC006455)". Lineage: Eukaryota; Viridiplantae; Streptophyta; Magnoliopsida; Poales; Poaceae. The record is from RNAcentral.